UUUAGUGAUUUUCAUUUGCAAAUUCUGAAAGGUUAUGUGUAUUGAAGGUUUAAAAAAUCAGGUGGAGAUCCAAAAUGGGAUAAAAAGUAUAUGCAUAAUGCAGCUACAGGAUGGUUAAAGUGUGCUCAGUUAUGGUUUGUUCCUGAUCAGACUACAAAGUAUGUUCAGGCUUCUGCAGCAUCACCUGCUUAUGUGCUUUUUGUUGUACCAAUAAAUAUCAGUUUGGAUGAAUAAAAAAAAAAAAGAUUUUUCGGAAUAUUGAUACUGAUGAAAUUUUAAUGGCGAUUGGUAGAGGGAAAAGUCAUGUUGGAUAGAUGGUUGUGAAUCCUUCUGCAAUGGUGAGAUCCACUGCAGAAAAUGUUGAUGUUGGUAUAAAAAAAAUGAGAAAGUGACUAGAAAGUCUGUGGAUGUUGGUGCAGGGAAUAAGCAAGUUGAUAGUGUUUUAGUGGUGGAUGAGGGUUAUAAGAGUCAUGGUGUACUAGUUCCCAGUCAUGUGUCUGCUUCUGCCUAUCCUUUUGUAGUUGCUGGUGAGACUGUUAUAAUUAAGCCUCCCUAUGGAUCACAUUUGGUGUCUCUUAGGACUCAGUGUCCUGAUCCGUUUAAGCUUCCAGAAGGCGCUAUUAAUUAUUUAAAAAGGGUAACAAUGGAUCAACAAUUU
Molecule: non-coding RNA, 658 nt
Organism: Pelobates cultripes (western spadefoot toad)
Lineage: Eukaryota; Metazoa; Chordata; Amphibia; Anura; Pelobatidae
Source: the annotation of a GenBank genome assembly